This 602-nucleotide long non-coding RNA is filed under the name Pan troglodytes (chimpanzee). RNAcentral's name for it is "long non-coding RNA NONPTRT006676". Lineage: Eukaryota; Metazoa; Chordata; Mammalia; Primates; Hominidae. The record is from RNAcentral.
GCAGGGCAGGUGUGGGAGGCAGCACCUUAGGACCCUAGCCUGCCUUCUAGAUGUUCACCCCUCACUGCCACCGCCUUCUCCCACCAGGCGGCAGACAGAUAGCAGCGGGAAAGAGUGGUGGGUGACCAACAAUACCUACUGGAGGCUGCGGGCCGAGCCAGGCUACGGGAACAUGGAUGGGGCCGUGCUCUGGUAGCCUGGCCCCGGGGGCAGGAGGCUCUGCUUCCUCACUCCUCCUGCCUCCACCCCCUACCACGGACACAUGGCUUCCAGCUCCUUCGUCCCUGAUCCUCAAGCGGUUCCCUCCCGUCUCAGCUCAGCGGAUCCCCCAGAGUGGAGGAGGCCUCUCCAUGAGGAGGGGAGCAGCCCAAGGCACCUGGCCUCCGACCCACCGGCAGCGAGUGCACAGGUGUGAGUGUAAGUUCAUGUAGGAGAGUGUAUGCGUGUGCGCCUGUGCCCUGCUUGCAGGCAAGCAGGGCUCCCUCAUGUAGCCCGGCCUUCCCCCUGCUGGGGGUCCACCACAUCGCUGCUCUUUCUCACAGUCUGCCUCUGAUGAGGGCGAAUUGCUAUGACAUUCCAAGCUCCAAUAAAGACUGUCCCAG